Molecule: ribosomal RNA, 207 nt
Filed under: uncultured bacterium
Lineage: Bacteria
Description: partial 16S ribosomal RNA
Rfam family: Bacterial small subunit ribosomal RNA
Source: RNAcentral
CGCGUAGGUGGUUUGGUAAGAUGGAUGUGAAAUCCCCGGGCUCAACCUGGGAACUGCAUCCAUAACUGCCUGACUAGAGUACGGUAGAGGGUGGUGGAAUUUCCUGUGUAGCGGUGAAAUGCGUAGAUAUAGGAAGGAACACCAGUGGCGAAGGCGACCACCUGGACUGAUACUGACACUGAGGUACGAAAGCGUGGGGAGCAAACA